GUCAUAUGCUUGUCUCAAAGAUUAAGCCAUGCAUGUCUCAGUACAAGCCAAAUUAAGGUGAAACCGCGAAAGGCUCAUUAAAUCAGUUAUGGUUCCUUAGAUCGUACCCACAAUUACUUGGAUAACUGUGGUAAUUCUAGAGCUAAUACAUGCAAACAGAGCUCCGACCGGAGACGGAAGGAGUGCUUUUAUUAGAUCAAAACCAAUCGGUGGCGGGUUCGCUCGUUAUCGCACAACUUGGUGACUCUGAAUAACUUUACGCUGAUCGCACGGUCAUCGCACCGGCGACGCAUCUUUCAAAUGUCUGCCUUAUCAACUGUCGAUGGUAGGUUCUGCGCCUACCAUGGUUGUAACGGGUAACGGGGAAUCAGGGUUCGAUUCCGGAGAGGGAGCCUGAGAAACGGCUACCACAUCCAAGGAAGGCAGCAGGCGCGCAAAUUACCCACUCCCGGCACGGGGAGGUAGUGACGAAAAAUAACGAUACGGGACUCAUCCGAGGCCCCGUAAUCGGAAUGAGUACACUCUAAACCCUUUAACGAGGAUCAAUUGGAGGGCAAGUCUGGUGCCAGCAGCCGCGG
Molecule: ribosomal RNA, 578 nt
Filed under: Trigonopterus sp. 582 MB-2015
Lineage: Eukaryota; Metazoa; Arthropoda; Insecta; Coleoptera; Curculionidae
Description: SSU rRNA
Rfam family: Eukaryotic small subunit ribosomal RNA
Source: RNAcentral